Molecule: ribosomal RNA, 253 nt
Filed under: uncultured bacterium
Lineage: Bacteria
Description: partial 16S ribosomal RNA
Rfam family: Bacterial small subunit ribosomal RNA
Source: RNAcentral
UACAUACUGUGCGAACGUUAUUCGGAUUCACUGGGCUUAAAGGGUGCGUAGGCGGCUUGUUAAGUAGGGUGUGAAAGCCCCCAGCUCAACUGGGGAACUGCACUCUAUACUGGCGAGCUGGAGUGAGAUAGGGGUGUGUGGAACUGCCAGUGGAGCGGUGAAAUGUGUUGAUAUUGGUAGGAACGCCGGUGGCGAAAGCGACACACUGGGUCUCAACUGACGCUGAGGCACGAAAGCCAGGGGAGCGAACGGG